This 492-nucleotide ribosomal RNA is filed under the name uncultured bacterium. RNAcentral describes it as "partial 16S ribosomal RNA". It matches the Rfam family "Bacterial small subunit ribosomal RNA", at positions 29 to 507 of the family's 1533-position model. The record is from RNAcentral.
AGUGAACGCUGGCGGUAGGCCUAACACAUGCAAGUCGAACGGCAGCACAGUAAGAGCUUGCUCUUACGGGUGGAGAGUGGCGGACGGGUGCGUUAUACAUCGGAAUCUACUUUUUCGUGGGGGCUAACGUAGGGUAACUUACGCUAAUACCGCAUUCGACCUACGGGUGAAAGCAGGGGAUCUUCGGACCUUGCGCGAUUGUAUGAGCCGACGUCGGAUUAGCUAGUUGGCGGGGCAAAGGGCCACCAAGGCGACGAUCCGUAGCUGGUCUGAGAGGAUCAUCACCCACACUGGAACUGAGACACAGUCCAGACUCCUACGGGAGGCAGCGGUGGUGAAUAUUAGACAAUGCGCGCGAGCCUGAUCCAGCCAUACCGCGUAGGUGAAGAACGACUUCUGGUUGUAGAGCCCUUUUGUUGGGAAAGAAAAGCAGCACGUUAAUACCCCGCUGUUCUGACGGUACCCAAAGAAUAAGCUCCGGCUAACUUCGUG